Molecule: non-coding RNA, 156 nt
Organism: Cicer arietinum (chickpea)
Lineage: Eukaryota; Viridiplantae; Streptophyta; Magnoliopsida; Fabales; Fabaceae
Source: RefSeq, a predicted model, not a curated record
UUCAAUUUUAGUGUCAAAGACAACCUAAAGGUUAUGAGUGUGGUUACUACAUUAUGAUACAUAUGUUGAACAUUGUAUCUAGUGGUCUUGUUGAUUCAUGGAUGCGGAUAUUUGGAGAAUCAAAACCAUUCGAAGAUGAAGAAAUGAUGAAUGUCC